AUCUGGAUGACGAGUCUCAAAUUGGACGAAAUGCGCAUCUUAGAU
RNAcentral lists this non-coding RNA (45 nucleotides) under Trichobilharzia regenti. Lineage: Eukaryota; Metazoa; Platyhelminthes; Trematoda; Strigeidida; Schistosomatidae. The record is from RNAcentral.